CCUACGGGGCGCAGCAGUGGGGAAUAUUGGACAAUGGGCGAAAGCCUGAUCCAGCCAUGCCGCGUGUGUGAAGAAGGCCUUCGGGUUGUAAAGCACUUUCAGUGGGGAAGAAAGCCUUGGGGCUAAUACCCUCGAGGAAGGACAUCACCCACAGAAGAAGCACCGGCUAACUCCGUGCCAGCAGCCGCGGUAAUACGGAGGGUGCGAGCGUUUAUCGGAAUUACUGGGCGUAAAGCGCGCGUAGGCGGUCUGAUAAGCCGGUUGUGAAAGCCCCGGGCUCAACCUGGGAACGGCAUCCGGAACUGUCAGGCUAGAGUGCAGGAGAGGAAGGUAGAAUUCCCGGUGUAGCGGUGAAAUGCGUAGAGAUCGGGAGGAAUACCAGUGGCGAAGGCGGCCUUCUGGACUGACACUGACGCUGAGGUGCGAAAGCGUGGGUAGCAAACAGGAUUAGAUACCCUGGUAGUC
Molecule: ribosomal RNA, 465 nt
Filed under: Vreelandella stevensii
Lineage: Bacteria; Pseudomonadati; Pseudomonadota; Gammaproteobacteria; Oceanospirillales; Halomonadaceae
Description: partial 16S ribosomal RNA
Rfam family: Bacterial small subunit ribosomal RNA
Source: RNAcentral